AUUGAACGCUGGCGGCAGGCCUAACACAUGCAAGUCGAACGGUAACAGGAAGAAGCUUGCUUCUUUGCUGACGAGUGGCGGACGGGUGAGUCAUGUCUGGGAAACUGCCUGAUGGAGGGGGAUAACUACUGGAAACGGUAGCUAAUACCGCAUAACGUCGCAAGACCAAAGAGGGGGACCUUCGGGCCUCUUGCCAUCGGAUGUGCCCAGAUGGGAUUAGCUAGUAGGUGGGGUAACGGCUCACCUAGGCGACGAUCCCUAGCUGGUCUGAGAGGAUGACCAGCCACACUGGAACUGAGACACGGUCCAGACUCCUACGGGAGGCAGCAGUGGGGAAUAUUGCACAAUGGGCGAAAGCCUGAUGCAGCCAUGCCGCGUGUAUGAAGAAGGCCUUCGGGUUGUAAAGUACUUUCAGCGGGGAGGAAGGGAGUAAAGUUAAUACCUUUGCUCAUUGACGUUACCCGCAGAAGAAGCACCGGCUAACUCCGUG
Molecule: ribosomal RNA, 490 nt
Filed under: uncultured bacterium
Lineage: Bacteria
Description: partial 16S ribosomal RNA
Rfam family: Bacterial small subunit ribosomal RNA
Source: RNAcentral